UGGGGAAUAUUGCACAAUGGGCGCAAGCCUGAUGCAGCCAUGCCGCGUGUGUGAAGAAGGCCUUCGGUUGUAAAGCACUUUCAGCGAGGAGGAAGGUGGUGAACUUAAUACGUUCAUCAAUUGACGUUACUCGCAGAAGAAGCACCGGCUAACUCCGUGCCAGCAGCCGCGGUAAUACGGAGGGUGCAAGCGUUAAUAGGAAUUACUGGGCGUAAAGCGCACGCAGGCGGUUUGUUAAGUCAGAUGUGAAAUCCCCGGGCUCAACCUGGGAACUGCAUUUGAAACUGGCAAGCUAGAGUCUCGUAGAGGGGGGUAGAAUUCCAGGUGUAGCGGUGAAAUGCGUAGAGAUCUGGAGGAAUACCGGUGGCGAAGGCGGCCCCCAUGGACGAAGACUGACGCUCAGGUGCGAAAGCGUGGGGAGCAAACAGAUUAGAUACCCUGGUAGUCCACGCUGUAAAACGAUGUCGAUUUUGGAGGUUGUGCCCCUUGAGGCGUGGNUUCCGGAGCUAACGCGUUAAAUCGACCGCCNGGGGAGUACGGCCNCAAGGUUAAAACUUAAAGGAAUUGC
Molecule: ribosomal RNA, 568 nt
Filed under: uncultured bacterium
Lineage: Bacteria
Description: partial 16S ribosomal RNA
Rfam family: Bacterial small subunit ribosomal RNA
Source: RNAcentral